GGGCUUGUGGUUUAGUGGUGUAAGUUCACACUUUGAAUGGGAGGGGUCCGGGGUUCGAUUCCCCGCGAGUCCA
Molecule: non-coding RNA, 73 nt
Organism: Camillea tinctor
Lineage: Eukaryota; Fungi; Ascomycota; Sordariomycetes; Xylariales; Graphostromataceae
Source: the annotation of a GenBank genome assembly